GGUCAGAUUAUGGCUCAGAUUGAACGCUGGCGGGAUGCUUGCCACAUGCAAGUCGAACGGCAGCACGGACUUCGGUCUGGUGGCGAGUGGCGAAUCUGGUGAGUAGUCGUAUCGGAACGUGCCUAGUAGCGGGGGAUAACUACGCGAAAGUUGCGCUAAUACCGCAUACGCCCUUCGGGGAAAGCGGGGGACCUUCGGGCCUCGCACUAUUAGAGCGGCCGAUAUCGGUCGAUUAGCCAGUUGGUGGGGUAACGGCUCAACGGCGACGAUCCGUAGCUGGUUUGAGAGGACGACCAGCCACACUGGGACUGGCACGGCCCAGACUCCUACGGAGGCAGCAGCAGUGGGGAAUUUUGGACAAUGGGGGAAACUCUGAUCCAGCCAUCCCGCGUGUGCGAUGAAGGCCUCGGGUUGUAAAGCACUCUUUUGGCAGGAAGAAACGGCACGGAUAAUACUCCCGUGCAACUGACGGUACCUGCAGAAUAAGCACCGGCUAACCACGGUGCCAGCAGCCGCAGUAAUAUUGUAGUGCGUUAAUCGGAAUUACUGGGCGUAAAGCGUGUGCAGGCGGUUCGGAAAGAAAGAUGUGAAAUCCCAGAGCUUAACUUUGGAACUGCAUUUUUAACUACCGAGCUAGAGUGUGUCAGAGGGAGGUGGAAUUCCGGUAGCAGUGAAAAUGCGUAGAUAUGCGGAGGAACACCGAUGGCGAAGGCAGCCUCCGGGAUAACACUGACGCUCAUGCACGAAAGCGUGGGGAGCGCCGUGAUUGAUACUCCUGGUAGUCCACGCCCUAAACGAUGUCACACCAAUGUUGGGCCUUGGCUCGGUAGCGCAGCGAUCAGAAGUUGACCGUCGGGGAGUAUUGCUCGUGAAGAUUAAAACUCAAAGGAAUUGAUUGGGACCCGCACAAGCGGUGGAUGAUGUGGAUUAUUCGAUGCAACGCGAAACCUUACCUACCCUUGACAUGUCUGGAAUCCCGAAGAGAUUUUGGGAGCGUCAAAGAGAACCGAACACAGGUGCUGCAUGGCUGUUGCCAGCUCGGGCCGAGAUGCUGCCAAGUCCUGCAACGAGCGCAACCUCGGUCAUAUUAGCAUGAAAGGCACUUAAUGACUGCUGGCAUACAAACCGGAGGAAGGUGGGGAUGACGUCAAGUCCUCAUGGCCUUAUGGGUAGGGUCGCUACACGUCAUACAAUGGUCGGGACAGAGGGUCGCCAACCCGCGAGGGGGAGCCAAUCCCAGAAACCCGAUCGUAGUCCGGAUCGCAGUCUGCAACUCGACUGCGUGAAGUCGAAUCGCUAGUAAUCGCCGGAUCAGCUGUCGCGGUGAAUACGUUCCCGGCAUCUGUACACACCGCCCGUCAGCUAUGGGAGUGGGUUUUACCAGAAGUAGUUAGCCUAACCGUAAGGAGGGCGAUUACCACGGUAGAUUCAUGACUGGGGCAGUCGUAACAUGUGAAC
Molecule: ribosomal RNA, 1458 nt
Filed under: uncultured Bordetella sp.
Lineage: Bacteria; Pseudomonadati; Pseudomonadota; Betaproteobacteria; Burkholderiales; Alcaligenaceae
Description: partial 16S-23S ribosomal RNA intergenic spacer
Rfam family: Bacterial small subunit ribosomal RNA
Source: RNAcentral